RNAcentral lists this non-coding RNA (110 nucleotides) under Vibrio panuliri. RNAcentral's name for it is "TPP sequence". It matches the Rfam family "TPP riboswitch aptamer (THI element)". Rfam says of the family: Vitamin B(1) in its active form thiamin pyrophosphate (TPP) is an essential coenzyme that is synthesised by coupling of pyrimidine and thiazole moieties in bacteria. The previously detected thiamin-regulatory element, thi box was extended, resulting in a new, highly conserved RNA secondary structure, the THI element, which is widely distributed in eubacteria and also occurs in some archaea. Analysis of operon structures identified a large number of new candidate thiamin-regulated genes, mostly transporters, in various prokaryotic organisms. Lineage: Bacteria; Pseudomonadati; Pseudomonadota; Gammaproteobacteria; Vibrionales; Vibrionaceae. The record is from RNAcentral.
CGAAACUCAUCGGGGAGCCAAGUGCAGCGCACUGGCUGAGAUCGACAAUUGUCGGGACCCGUGUACCUGAACCAGAUAAUGCUGGCGUAGGAAUUGAGUCAGGAUAAUUG